AAUCAACGCUGGCGGCGUGCCUAACACAUGCAAGUCGAACGCGAAAGGGGCUUCGGCUCUGAGUAGAGUGGCAAACGGGUGAGUAACGCGUGGGUGACCUACCUUCGAGUGGGGGAUAACGUUCCGAAAGGAGCGCUAAUACCGCAUAACAUCCCGCCUUUGAACAGGUGGAGAUCAAAGCUGGGGAUCGUAAGACCUGGCGCUGGAAGAGGGGCCCGCGUCCGAUUAGCUAGGUGGUGAGGUAAUGGCUCACCAAGGCAACGAACGGUAGCCGGCAGGAGAGGGCGGACGGGCACACGGGGACUGAGACACGGCCCAGACUCCUACGGGAGGCAGCAGUGGGGAAUUGUGGACAAUGGGCGAAAGCGUGAUCCAGCCAUGCCGCGUGAGUGAAGAUGGCCUUCGGGUAGUAAAGCUCUUUUGUCCGGGAGGAAAUCCUGGCCUCUAAUACAGGUCGGGGAUGACAGUACUGGAAGAAUAAGCACCGGCUAACUACGUGCCAGCCGCCGCAGUAA
RNAcentral lists this ribosomal RNA (515 nucleotides) under uncultured bacterium. Its description in RNAcentral is "partial 16S ribosomal RNA". It matches the Rfam family "Bacterial small subunit ribosomal RNA", at positions 29 to 523 of the family's 1533-position model. The record is from RNAcentral.